GAUGAACGCUGGCGGCGUGCCUAAUACAUGCAAGUCGAGCGAACGGACGAGAAGCUUGCUUCUCUGAUGUUAGCUGCGGACGGGUGAGUAACACGUGGAUAACCUACCUAUAAGACUGGGAUAACUUCGGGAAACCGGAGCUAAUACCGGAUGAUAUUUUGAACCGCAUGGUUCAAAAGUGAAAGACGGUCUUGCUGUCACUUAUAGAUGGAUCCGCGCUGCAUUAGCUAGUUGGUAAGGUAACGACUUACCAAGGCAACGAUGCAUAGCCGACCUGAGAGGGUGUUAGGCCUCACUGGAACUGUGACGCGGUCCAUGCUCCUACGGGAGGCAGCAGUAGUGAAUCUUUCGCAAUGGGCGAAAGCCUGACGGAGUAACACCGCGUGAGUGAUGAAGGUCUUCGGAUCGUAAAACUCUGUUAUUAGGGAAGAACAUAUGUGUAAGUAACUGUUCACCUCUUGACGGUACCUAAUCAGAGAGCCACGGCUAACUACGUG
Molecule: ribosomal RNA, 497 nt
Filed under: uncultured bacterium
Lineage: Bacteria
Description: partial 16S ribosomal RNA
Rfam family: Bacterial small subunit ribosomal RNA
Source: RNAcentral